This 496-nucleotide ribosomal RNA is filed under the name uncultured bacterium. Its description in RNAcentral is "bacterial SSU rRNA". It matches the Rfam family "Bacterial small subunit ribosomal RNA", at positions 29 to 518 of the family's 1533-position model. The record is from RNAcentral.
AUGAACGCUAGCGACAGGCCUAACACAUGCAAGUCGAGGGGCAGCACAAGGAGCAAUCUGAGGUGGCGACCGGCGCACGGGUGAGUAACACGUAUGCAACCUGCCUGUAAGCGGGGAAUAACCCGUUGAAAGACGGACUAAUACCGCAUAGUACUAAAUUACUGCAUGGUAAUUUAUUUAAACAUUUAUGGCUUACAGAUGGGCAUGCGCAUGAUUAGCUAGUUGGAGAGGUAACGGCUCCCCAAGGCAACGAUCAUUAGGGGUUCUGAGAGGAAGGUCCCCCACACUGGUACUGAGACACGGACCAGACUCCUACGGGAGGCAGCAGUGAGGAAUAUUGGUCAAUGGACGAGAGUCUGAACCAGCCAAGUCGCGUGCAGGAAGAAUGUUCCCUAUGGAUUGUAAACUGCUUUUGCAGGGGAAUAAAGUGCAUCACGUGUGAUGUUUUGUAUGUACUCUGCGAAUAAGGAUCGGCUAACUCCGUGCCAGCAGCGGC